This 375-nucleotide RNase P RNA is filed under the name uncultured Georgenia sp. RNAcentral describes it as "Bacterial RNase P class A". It matches the Rfam family "Bacterial RNase P class A". From Rfam's summary of the family: Ribonuclease P (RNase P) is a ubiquitous endoribonuclease, found in archaea, bacteria and eukarya as well as chloroplasts and mitochondria. Its best characterised activity is the generation of mature 5'-ends of tRNAs by cleaving the 5'-leader elements of precursor-tRNAs. Lineage: Bacteria; Bacillati; Actinomycetota; Actinomycetes; Allobogoriellales; Allobogoriellaceae. The record is from RNAcentral.
GAGUCGGCCAGGCGGUCGCGGCGCCCCUCGGGGCGACGAGGAACGUCCGGGCUCCGCAGAGCAGGGUGGUGGGUAACGCCCACCCGGGGUGACCCGCGGGACAGUGCCACAGAAAGUAGACCGCCGUCGCAGCCUCCGGGCCGCGGCGGUAAGGGUGAAAGGGUGGUGUAAGAGACCACCAGCGUGCCGGGUGACCGGUGCGGCUAGGUAAACCCCACCCGGAGCAAGACCAGACAGCAGGCGCCUGAGGGCUGCUCGCCCGAGCCUGCGGGUAGGUCGCUGGAGGCGUGCGGCAACGUACGUCGUAGAUGGAUGGCCGCCACCGCGGACCGGCAACGGGCCGCGGGACAGAACCCGGCGUACCGGCCGACUCAU